CGCCGCCUGUUGUGUGCGAGUAGGCCCAAAUCCCUUAGAACCUAGAAUUCGCAAAGGGGCUCCUUGAUAGGCGUGCUGUUGUGCACGUCCGUCGUGAACGGAAAGCCUGAUGCGCGCUUUGGGACCCCCACUUGGACCGUUCGGUUCAAGGUACCGGGCCGAUACGGCAUAUACGGGUGGCGU
RNAcentral lists this non-coding RNA (183 nucleotides) under Gammaproteobacteria bacterium. RNAcentral describes it as "6S RNA". It matches the Rfam family "6S / SsrS RNA". Rfam says of the family: E. coli 6S RNA was the first non coding RNA to be sequenced, but its function was unknown until recently. The record is from RNAcentral. Lineage: Bacteria; Pseudomonadati; Pseudomonadota; Gammaproteobacteria.